This 433-nucleotide ribosomal RNA is filed under the name uncultured bacterium. Its description in RNAcentral is "partial 16S ribosomal RNA". It matches the Rfam family "Bacterial small subunit ribosomal RNA", at positions 31 to 507 of the family's 1533-position model. The record is from RNAcentral.
AAAGAAAGAGGGAGGCAGGCUUAACACAUGCAAGUCGAACGCACCUUUCGGGGUGAGUGGCAGACGGGUGAGUAACGCGUGGGAAUCUACCCUUCUCUACGGGAUAGCUCCGGGAAACUGGAAUUAAUACCGUAUACGUCCUGAGGGAGAAAGAUUUAUCGGGGAAGGAUGAGCCCGCGUUGGAUUAGCUAGUUGGUGGGGUAAAGGCCUACCAAGGCGACGAUCCAUAGCUGGUCUAAGAGGAUGAUCAGCCACAUUGGGACUGAGACACGGCCCAAACUCCUACGGGAGGCAGCAGUGGGGAAUAUUGGACAAUGGGCGCAAGCCUGAUCCAGCCAUGCCGCGUGAGUGAUGAAGGCCCUAGGGUUGUAAAGCUCUUUCAGUGGGGACGAUAAUGACGGUACCCACAGAAGAAGCCCCGGCUAACUUCGUG